This 379-nucleotide ribosomal RNA is filed under the name Eukaryota sp. RNAcentral describes it as "SSU rRNA". It matches the Rfam family "Eukaryotic small subunit ribosomal RNA", at positions 1325 to 1699 of the family's 1831-position model. The record is from RNAcentral.
CCGAUAACGAACGAGACCUUGGCCUGCUAACUAGGGCAAGCUGCUUCGGAAAAGGGGCAGCUGGAGGGGCCCUUCUUAGAGGGACUAUCUGUGUGUUUAACGGAUGGAAGCAAGGCAAUAACAGGUCUGUGAUGCCCUUGGAUGUUCUGGGCCGCACGCGCGCUACACUGAUAAAGGCAGCGAGUUUACCUGAUAACACGGGUGGUUCUUGGCCGGAAGGCCUGGAGAAGCUUGCUCAACUUUAUCGUGCUGGGGAUUGACCCUUGCAAUUAUGGGUCAUGAACGAGGAAUUCCUAGUAAGUGCGAGUCAUCAGCUUGCGCUGAUUACGUCCCUGUCCUUUGUACACACCGCCCGUCGAUAUUACCGAUUGAAUGGGUG